UGCUCUCGGGUGACGAGCGGCGGACGGGUGAUUAAUGUCUGGGAAACUGCCUGAUGGAGGGGGAUAACUACUGGAAACGGUAGCUAAUACCGCAUAACGUCGCAAGACCAAAGUGGGGGACCUUCGGGCCUCAUGCCAUCAGAUGUGCCCAGAUGGGAUUAGCUGGUAGGUGGGGUAACGGCUCACCUAGGCGACGAUCCCUAGCUGGUCUGAGAGGAUGACCAGCCACACUGGAACUGAGACACGGUCCAGACUCCUACGGGAGGCAGCAGUGGGGAAUAUUGCACAAUGGGCGCAAGCCUGAUGCAGCCAUGCCGCGUGUGUGAAGAAGGCCUUCGGGUUGUAAAGCACUUUCAGCGGGGAGGAAGGCGGUGAGGUUAAUAACCUUGUCGAUUGACGUUACCCGCAGAAGAAGCACCGGCUAACUCCGUGCCAGCAGCCGCGGUAAUACGGAGGGUGCAAGCGUUAAUCGGAAUUACUGGGCGUAAAGCGCACGCAGGCGGUCUGUCAAGUCGGAUGUGAAAUCCCCGGGCUCAACCUGGGAACUGCAUUCGAAACUGGCAGGCUAGAGUCUUGUAGAGGGGGGUAGAAUUCCAGGUGUAGCGGUGAAAUGCGUAGAGAUCUGGAGGAAUACCGGUGGCGAAGGCGGCCCCCUGGACAAAGACUGACGCUCAGGUGCGAAAGCGUGGGGGAGCAAACAGGAUUAGAUACCCUGGUAGUCCACGCCGUAAACGAUGUCGAUUUGGAGGUUGUGCCCUUUGAGGCGUGGCUUCCGGAGCUAACGCGUUAAAUCGACCGCCUGGGGAGUACGGCCGCAAGGUUAAAACUCAAAUGAAUUGACGGGGGCCCGCACAAGCGGUGGAGCAUGUGGUUUAAUUCGAUGCAACGCGAAGAACCUUACCUGGUCUUGACAUCCACAGAACUUAGCAGAGAUGCUUUGGUGCCUUCGGGAACUGUGAGACAGGUGCUGCAUGGCUGUCGUCAGCUCGUGUUGUGAAAUGUUGGGUUAAGUCCCGCAACGAGCGCAACCCUUAUCCUUUGUUGCCAGCGGUCCGGCCGGGAACUCAAAGGAGACUGCCAGUGAUAAACUGGAGGAAGGUGGGGAUGACGUCAAGUCAUCAUGGCCCUUACGACCAGGGCUACACACGCGCUACAAUGGCAUAUACAAAGAGAAGCGACCUCGCGAGAGCAAGCGGACCUCAUAAAGUAUGUCGUAGUCCGGAUUGGAGUCUGCAACUCGACUCCAUGAAGUCGGAAUCGCUAGUAAUCGUAGAUCAGAAUGCUACGGUGAAUACGUUCCCGGGCCUUGUACACACCGCCCGUCACACCAUGGGAGUGGGUUGCAAAAGAACUAGGUAGC
Molecule: ribosomal RNA, 1360 nt
Filed under: Klebsiella sp. PRW-1
Lineage: Bacteria; Pseudomonadati; Pseudomonadota; Gammaproteobacteria; Enterobacterales; Enterobacteriaceae
Description: bacterial SSU rRNA
Rfam family: Bacterial small subunit ribosomal RNA
Source: RNAcentral